Molecule: long non-coding RNA, 649 nt
Filed under: Cricetulus griseus (Chinese hamster)
Lineage: Eukaryota; Metazoa; Chordata; Mammalia; Rodentia; Cricetidae
Description: lncRNA (ENSCGRG00000025552.1)
Source: RNAcentral
ACAAGCAUAAAAUGAAUUGCCUUAAGAUGGAAAAAUUUACACCAGGGUCUAAAAUACGAUCAUGAAAACUUCUGAAGGACCGUAUUAUCCUUUUCAGGUUGAAGAAAAGUGUUGUAAAAGAGGGACAGGCCGAGAGCUAAAACAUCUGGGAGCAGAAGUCAGUACUCAGGUCAGUGUGACGAAGAAGCUGGAAAUGGUUCCCUAUGGGCCAUCUGCACUGAAGGGCGAUAACUCUGCUGUGAAGACACACUUCUGAUGGAGAAGAGAAACUGUCUAUAAAGAAUGCAAGCUCACAUGUUCUUACAAGAAUGGCGACAAGACAGACAGCCUAGGGACAUUUUACUUUUGAGGUUUGGUGUGGAGAUUACGGAUGAAGAAUUUGAGUUGCCACUUGACAGAAUCCCCCUUGAUGAAGACGGAAAUGUCAGAGACACCCAGCUCAUACCCAUGCUUGAUUUUGUGUUUUCCCCAUCCCUUUGUAAAUUUUUGUCCUUAAUUUUGAUACAAAGAAUAUGGCCCUAAAAGCCUUUUACAACUUCUCUCCUUGCUUUGUAUCUCACAUUUUAGUAGUUUAUGUGACAAAAGAUUUUCAGAAUAGCAAGAUGAUGAUGAUGAUGAUGAUGAUGAUGAUGAUGAUGAUGAUGAUGAC